GAACAGCAGAGAACAGAUGAGCAACAAGAUCAGUGACGUUGUGACGUAUUUCAGCUUUUUGCAAUCAACAUCAGCAUUGUUUAUUAUUAUUAUUUGUGAAUAUGGCCGAAGUUGAAGCUUCUUCGUCAAAUACUGAUCAACCAGAAGUUGAAAAUGUUGAAAAAUCUGAAGAGUUAGAAGGACCCUCACCAAAGAAGAGGAAAAUAAGUAAUCAGGUAGUGCUCUUUCAAAGCACUGAUAAUAAACCAGAUAAGCUGGAGCAAAGACUUGGAGGAAUCCUUUGUUGUGCUGUUUGUUUGGACCUUCCCAAGGCAGCUAUUUAUCAGUGCACGAAUGGCCAUCUGAUGUGCGCGGGCUGCUUCACGCACGUGCUGGCAGAUGCACGCUUGCGCGACGAACAGGCCACUUGUCCCAACUGCCGCAUCGAGAUCAGCAAGAGCAGUGCAUCGCGCAACUUGGCCGUCGAGAAGGCUGUUAGGGAGCUGCCUUCUGAAUGCCAGUUCUGCAGCAAAGAAUUUCCUCGAAACACCCUCGAGAGGCACGAGGAUACGGUUUGUGAUGAAAGAAUCACAAGCUGCAGCUUCUCACGCAUCGGGUGUCCUUGGCGCGGACCCUACCAUGAGGCGCCAGAGCAUGAGAAGGAGUGCGUCCAUCCUCACAGGUCGGGUGCAGAAGUCAUGGAGGCGUUGCGUGUCAUUGACGAAAUCAGCCAGGAAGAGAAGAGACUUUAUGACUCCAUUUUCGAUCUUCUCUCCUACGAGAAAAUUAUAUUCAGUGAUUUGCAAAUGAAGCCAUACCGGACUGAUGAGUUCGUGCAUAAGCUGUUCUACGAAACGUCGCGCUUCGCCGCCUUCAAUAACCAGUGGGUUGUCAAGGCACGCAUCAACAACAACCAGAAAGAUCCAACUUUAAGUUUGGAGAGAGAAAUGAAAUAUCAGCUAGGUGCUUCGGCGAGGACUGCAGGUCACGUGGCGUCUCCUGGCACGCAACAAGUUUGGCAACACCGCACCGUCAAGAACUAGAGAGAUGGCAACCUCGCAUCCUGCUGAUCAUCAUCCCCUCGUUUCAAACGAUUCACUCUGAAAUUGAGACUCCAAUGGCAAUAGAAAUGGUUAGGCACGCCAACGCAGUAGGCUUGCGGUGGUUGUUGAUUUGGACCAACUUUUUUGUAAUUGAGAAGGAUGGAGAGAAUGGAGAAGAGAGAGAGAAUCAAGAGUAGAGAAGGUUGAUUGCCGCCAAAUCGCACCAAAGAAGAGGAAUGAGAGAAGGCAUCGAUUGGUCCAUAUCUAGUUGAUCUUGAAAACCAAGACGACAGUGCCACUGAAUGUUCAUUUCCUGAUUCUGCGCGGACCAUUUGGAGACAUGAAGUUGGAUGCCAAGAUUUACAAAUUUGAGUUUACCGACCAGGAGAAUGAGAGCCAGUAUGUCGGCCUGCCAUUGGCCGAUACGGCCGAGUGCAACCGGCUUCUCGCGGCCAAAGCUAUCAACUUCAGGCUCAUUAUGUUUUUGGUGACAAAAUAAAAUCUGAUGUGGAAUUGGAAGAAGAGCUACUUCAUUCGAUAUAAAGAACGCUAAAUUUUAUUUAAAAUACAAUAUAAAUUAAUUUAAGUCUUAUUGCAGCAGUUUUAUGCACCUGCUCGAAUUCCAAAAAUUGUUGUUUGACUCAGAAGGACACUUGACAAAUAUCUUUUGGACUCGGUGCCUGAUGCUUUAAAACUUUGAGUAACAACAUUAGAUCUUAGUCUUCAUGUAGUAUCGAUAUGUGACAUAUUAAAUUAUAAAAUGUGUAUUUACAAGAAAAAAAUAAUAUUACUUCACAAUUAUAAUUUUAUUAUUUAGCGUUCUUUCAUAGAUUUAGAUCGUUAUAUUCAGCAUGAAAGGAUCAUUAUACGUUAUGAUAUUAAUUAUGUUUAUAUAAUAUUAUAAAAGAAUUUAUUUUGUUUUUUUUUAUUGUAGAAAUUUAUCAUAGUAUUUUAUUUAACUUAUUAGAUUUUUGAAGAGAUAAUAUUUUUAAUUUUAUUCGAAUAGUCAGUAUUUUUGUAUUCUCAUUAAUUGUUUAUUGUAAUGUAAUUCUUUAAAUACUUAAUAAUGUUUAAUUCUUCUUUUGAAGAGAAUCGAAAACAUUAUAUUCGACAUCACAAACAGUAGCAUGAAGAGACAACACAGUCCAUUUCUGAAUCACGAAUAGCUUGAAAAUACAAAUAAUAUUUUUUGAUAUCACUGAAUGUAGUAGCUUUCCAAGACAGGUACUGUACAUGCAUUUUAACAAGAUUAUUUUUGAAAUAGCACUUAAUUUAGAAUUAGUCCCUUAUAUAUACUUACUGUUCUUAUACUUACUGUCUUUUAAAUUUUCUUGCAAUAAACUUUAAUAAGAAUAUCAGAGUAA
RNA transcript from Nilaparvata lugens (brown planthopper), 2386 nucleotides. It is a transcript of the gene named cysteine and histidine-rich protein 1 homolog, with no coding region annotated. NCBI's taxonomy places the organism in Eukaryota, Metazoa, Arthropoda, Insecta, Hemiptera, Delphacidae. The record is from RefSeq and is a predicted model, not a curated record. The transcript is spliced from 7 exons.